UUCAAGCCAGCAAACCAGUUCUAGUGCAGCGUCUGUAACUAUUAAUCAAGCAUCUCAAGAAGAUCGCCCAACUGUUGCUCCAACAAUUGAUUUUAUUUCAGAAGGCCCAAGCACUCAAUCAUCUGCCAGUUCAUCUUAUGAAGAUACCACCGUUGGAUCAUCAGACGUUGUAGAUCAAACAUCCAUUCAAAAUACAACACCUAGUUCUUCAGCCGAAUCUGGUUCAAUCCGAAAUUCAGAUUCAGAUUCACAGUCUUAUAACCCAGUUACUCAGCAAUCAGGUGAAGUAUCAAUAGAUGUGACCGUUGGAUCAGUCGACUCAGUUUCAACUGAAACUAGUAGCCAAGCUAGCCAAACAUCAUCACAAUCGUCCAGCAAUGUUUCAGUCUCAGUUUCAAUUACAUCUGAAGGUAACGAACCUACAACUUCAGCAUCUAGUUCUUCAACCCAAUCUGGCACUCAAUCGUCCCAGGAAUCUGGUUCUAUCCGUACGUCAAAUUCAGAUGCAGAAUCUAGUAACCCAGUUACUCAACAGUCAAGUGCAAUAGAUAUAGAUGUAACAGUUGGAUCAGUUGAUUCAGUUUCUACAGAAACUAGUAGCCAAGCUUCGCAAUCAACUAGCAACACAUCAAGUUCAGCUGCAGGUUCAUCUGGUUUAGAUGCUGUUGUUGUAUUUGUCACCUCAACU
Molecule: long non-coding RNA, 688 nt
Filed under: Lupinus mutabilis
Lineage: Eukaryota; Viridiplantae; Streptophyta; Magnoliopsida; Fabales; Fabaceae
Description: partial ncRNA
Source: RNAcentral